RNAcentral lists this ribosomal RNA (167 nucleotides) under uncultured Actinomycetes bacterium. Its description in RNAcentral is "uncultured actinobacterium partial 16S ribosomal RNA". It matches the Rfam family "Bacterial small subunit ribosomal RNA", at positions 1164 to 1330 of the family's 1533-position model. Lineage: Bacteria; Bacillati; Actinomycetota; Actinomycetes. The record is from RNAcentral.
CGGAGGAAGGUGGGGACGACGUCAAAUCAUCAUGCCCCUUAUGUCUUGGGCUUCACGCAUGCUACAAUGGCCGGUACAAAGGGUUGCGAUACUGUGAGGUGGAGCUAAUCCCAAAAAGCCGGUCUCAGUUCGGAUUGGGGUCUGCAACUCGACCCCAUGAAGUCGGA